AGCGAACGUUAGCGGCGGGCCUAACACAUGCAAGUCGAACGGGCUGUAGCAAUACAGUCAGUGGCGCACGGGUGAGUAACGCGUAGAUAAUCUACCUUCCGGCGGGGGAUAACAUUCCGAAAGGAAUGCUAAUACCGCAUAAGACCACGGGGUCCACGGGCCCUGAGGGAAAAGGUGGCCUCUCCUUGGAAGCCAUCACCGGAAGAUGAGUCUGCGUCCCAUCAGCUAGUUGGUAAGGUAAUGGCUUACCAAGGCGAAGACGGGUAGCUGGUCUGAGAGGAUGAUCAGCCACACUGGUACUGGAACACGGACCAGACUCCUACGGGAGGCAGCAGUGGGGAAUAUUGGGCAAUGGGCGAAAGCCUGACCCAGCCACGCCGCGUGAGUGAUGAAGGCCUCGGUUGUAAAGCGUCUGUGGGAAGGGGCGGAAAACGUACAGACCUAAUACGUCUGAGGUUGACGGUA
This 465-nucleotide ribosomal RNA is filed under the name uncultured bacterium. Its description in RNAcentral is "bacterial SSU rRNA". It matches the Rfam family "Bacterial small subunit ribosomal RNA", at positions 29 to 477 of the family's 1533-position model. The record is from RNAcentral.